Small nuclear RNA from Talpa occidentalis (Iberian mole), 162 nucleotides. RefSeq annotates it as U1 spliceosomal RNA. The transcript has a single exon. Lineage: Eukaryota; Metazoa; Chordata; Mammalia; Eulipotyphla; Talpidae. The record is from RefSeq and is a predicted model, not a curated record.
AUAUUUACCUGGCAGGGGAGAUACCAUGAUCACGAAGAUGGUUUUCUCAGGCAAGGCUUAUCCACUGCACUCAGAUGUGCUGACCUCUGAGGUUUCUCCAAAUGUAGGAAUCUCUACUGCAUAUUUUGUGGUAGUAGGGGAUUGUGUUUACGCUUUCCAUAA